GCAUUAAACCAUUCCCCUGGGGAGUACGACCGCAAGGUUGAAAUCAAAAAGAAAAAACGGGGGCCCGCACAAGCGGUGGAGCAUGUGGUUUAAUUCGAAGCAACGCGAAGAACCUUACCAGGUCUUGACAUCUUUUGAUCACCUGAAGAGAUCAGGUUUCCCCUUCGGGGGCAAAAUGACAGGUGGUGCAUGGUUGUCGUCAGCUCGUGUCGUGAGAUGUUGGGUUAAGUCCCGCAACGAGCGCAACCCUUAUGACUAGUUGCCAGCAUUUAGUUGGGCACUCUAGUAAGACUGCCGGUGGGCAAACCGGAGGAAGGUGGGGAUGACGUCAAAUCAUCAUGCCCCUUAUGACCUGGGCUACACACGUGCUACAAUGGAUGGUACAACGAGUUGCGAGACCGCGAGGUCAAGCUAAUCUCUUAAAGCCAUUCUCAGUUCGGACUGUAGGCUGCAACUCGCCUACACGAAGUCGAAUCGCAGAUCCAGCUUAGGAAUGGGAU
This 500-nucleotide ribosomal RNA is filed under the name Lacticaseibacillus paracasei. RNAcentral describes it as "bacterial SSU rRNA". It matches the Rfam family "Bacterial small subunit ribosomal RNA", at positions 857 to 1367 of the family's 1533-position model. Lineage: Bacteria; Bacillati; Bacillota; Bacilli; Lactobacillales; Lactobacillaceae. The record is from RNAcentral.